RNAcentral lists this ribosomal RNA (253 nucleotides) under uncultured bacterium. RNAcentral describes it as "partial 16S ribosomal RNA". It matches the Rfam family "Bacterial small subunit ribosomal RNA", at positions 524 to 776 of the family's 1533-position model. The record is from RNAcentral.
UACAGAGGGUGCAAGCGUUAAUCGGAAUUACUGGGCGUAAAGGGCGCGUAGGUGGUUGAUUAAGUCAGAUGUGAAAUCCCUGGGCUUAACCUAGGAAUUGCAUUUGAUACUGAUCAGCUAGAGUAUGGUAGAGGGAAGUGGAAUUUCAGGUGUAGCGGUGAAAUGCGUAGAUAUCUGAAGGAACACCAGUGGCGAAGGCGGCUUCCUGGACCAUUACUGACACUGAGGCGCGAAAGCGUGGGGAGCGAACAGG